RNAcentral lists this ribosomal RNA (248 nucleotides) under uncultured Aminicenantes bacterium. Its description in RNAcentral is "partial 16S ribosomal RNA". It matches the Rfam family "Bacterial small subunit ribosomal RNA", at positions 1137 to 1382 of the family's 1533-position model. The record is from RNAcentral. Lineage: Bacteria; Candidatus Aminicenantota.
ACUCUAAGGGGACGUGCCCGGAUAACGGGGAGGAAGGCGGGGAGUGACGUCAAGUCAGCAUGGCCUUUAUGUCCAGGGCUACACACGUGCUACAAUGGGCGGUACAGAGGGAAGCAAAGCCGCGAGGUGGAGCUAAUCCUUAAAGCCGUCCUCAGUUCGGAUCGCAGGCUGCAACUCGCCUGCGUGAAGUCGGAAUCGCUAGUAAUCGCGGAUCAGCAGGUCCGCGGUCGAAUACGUUCCCGGGCCUU